Molecule: ribosomal RNA, 459 nt
Filed under: uncultured bacterium
Lineage: Bacteria
Description: partial 16S ribosomal RNA
Rfam family: Bacterial small subunit ribosomal RNA
Source: RNAcentral
CCUACGUGUGGCAGCAGUGAGGAAUAUUGGUCAAUGGGCGGGAGCCUGAACCAGCCAAGUCGCGUGAGGGACGACGGUCCUAUGGAUUGUAAACCUCUUUUGUCGGGGAACAACGUCGCCCACGGGUGGGCGUAUGAGUGUCCCCGAAGAAAAAGCAUCGGCUAACUCCGUGCCAGCAGCCGCGGUAAUACGGAGGAUUCGAGCGUUAUCCGGAUUUAUUGGGUUUAAAGGGUGCGUAGGCGGACAGUCAAUUCAGCGGUAAAAAUGCGGUGCUCCACGCCUGACAGCCGUUGAAACUGGAAGUCUUGAGUGGGCGAGAAGGAUGCGGAAGGCGUGGUGUAGCGGUGAAAUGCAUAGAUAUAACGCAGAACGCCGAUUGCGAAGGCAGCAUACCGGCGCCCGACUGACGCUGAGGCACGAAAGCGUGGGUAUCGAACAGGAUUAGAUACCCGUGUAGUC